AAUUUCUACAUGGUAUCAGAGCCAAAGCCGGUGAUCUAACUCAUGCUCUACUAGCUGGAAAUCUCCUCUAUCAUCUUCAAGAAUCAAGAGAGGCUUACCCAAUAGUUCAUGUUUUCUCCAUUGAUUCCUCUGGAGAUUUAUCUGCCAGCAAUAGAAGAAGACAGCAUGAUGAAUCCUGGAUCAGCCAGCACUACAAGAUCCGGCAAAGUCACCGGCAGCUCAGAAAAUUUGGGAAUAUCUCCCAAUCUCAAGUUCUUAAUGACCAGGCUGCACUCUUUGGUUCCCACACAGCUCUAUUCAACAAAUUAUCUUACCUAGCGAUCUCAAA
RNAcentral lists this long non-coding RNA (328 nucleotides) under Phoenix dactylifera (date palm). RNAcentral's name for it is "long non-coding RNA (PDAC_LNC006391)". Lineage: Eukaryota; Viridiplantae; Streptophyta; Magnoliopsida; Arecales; Arecaceae. The record is from RNAcentral.